GAAGUUGUAGUUCAGCGGUAGAGCACUUGCCUAGCACAUAUGAGGUCCUGGGUUCAAUCCUCAGCACCUCA
Molecule: transfer RNA, 71 nt
Filed under: Ictidomys tridecemlineatus (thirteen-lined ground squirrel)
Lineage: Eukaryota; Metazoa; Chordata; Mammalia; Rodentia; Sciuridae
Description: Spermophilus tridecemlineatus (thirteen-lined ground squirrel) tRNA
Rfam family: tRNA
About the family: Transfer RNA (tRNA) molecules are approximately 80 nucleotides in length. Their secondary structure includes four short double-helical elements and three loops (D, anti-codon, and T loops).
Source: Rfam by way of RNAcentral